UACGGAGGGUGCAAGCGUUAUCCGGAUUUAUUGGGUUUAAAGGGUCCGUAGGCGGACCGAUAAGUCAGUGGUGAAAUCCUGCAGCUCAACUGUAGAACUGCCAUUGAUACUGUCGGUCUUGAAUUUGGUUGAAGUGGGCGGAAUAUGACAUGUAGCGGUGAAAUGCUUAGAUAUGUCAUAGAACACCGAUUGCGAAGGCAGCUCACUAAGCCUGGAUUGACGCUGAUGGACGAAAGCGUGGGUAGCGAACAGG
This 253-nucleotide ribosomal RNA is filed under the name uncultured bacterium. RNAcentral describes it as "partial 16S ribosomal RNA". It matches the Rfam family "Bacterial small subunit ribosomal RNA", at positions 524 to 776 of the family's 1533-position model. The record is from RNAcentral.